RNAcentral lists this ribosomal RNA (254 nucleotides) under uncultured bacterium. RNAcentral's name for it is "partial 16S ribosomal RNA". It matches the Rfam family "Bacterial small subunit ribosomal RNA", at positions 524 to 776 of the family's 1533-position model. The record is from RNAcentral.
UACGGGGGGAGCAAGCGUUGUUCGGAUUUACUGGGCGUAAAGGGCGCGUAGGCGGUCAGCACAAGUCAGUUGUGAAAUCUCCGGGCUUAACCCGGAAAGGUCAACUGAUACUGUGCGACUAGAGUGCGGAAGGGGCAACUGGAAUUACCGGUGUAGCGGUGAAAUGCGUAGAUAUCGGUAGGAACACCAGUGGCGAAGGCGGUCUCCUGGGGCAUUCUUGACGCUGAGGCGCGAAAGCUGGGGGAGCGAACGGG